AACGAACGCUGGCGGCAUGCCUAACACAUGCAAGUCGAACGAGACCUUCGGGUCUAGUUGCGCACGGGUGCGUAACGCGUGGGAACCUGCCCUUAGGUUCGGAAUAACUCCCCGAAGGGGGUGCUAAUACCGGAUAAUUUCUUCUGACACAAGAUUUAUCGUCUUUGUAUGGGCCCGCGUUGGAUUAGCUAGUUGGUAGGGUAAAAGCCUACCAAGGCUACGAUACAUAGCUGGUCUGAGAGGAUGAGCAGCCACACUGGGACUGAGACACGGCCCAGACUCAUACGGGAGGCAGCAGUGGGGAAUAUUGGAAAAUGGGCGAAAUGCUGAUGGAGAAAGGCCGCGUGAGUGAUGAAGGCCGUAGGGUUGUAAAGCUCUUUUAUACGGGAUGAUAAUGACAGUACCGGGAGAAUAAGCUCCGGCUAACUCCGUG
This 433-nucleotide ribosomal RNA is filed under the name uncultured bacterium. RNAcentral describes it as "partial 16S ribosomal RNA". It matches the Rfam family "Bacterial small subunit ribosomal RNA", at positions 29 to 507 of the family's 1533-position model. The record is from RNAcentral.